RNAcentral lists this ribosomal RNA (200 nucleotides) under uncultured bacterium. RNAcentral's name for it is "partial 16S ribosomal RNA". It matches the Rfam family "Bacterial small subunit ribosomal RNA", at positions 8 to 218 of the family's 1533-position model. The record is from RNAcentral.
AGAGUUUGAUCCUGGCUCAGGAUUAACGCUGGCGGCGUGCCUAACACAUGCAAGUCGAACGAGGUAGCAAUACCUAGUGGCAGACGGGUGAGUAACGCGUGGUCAACCUACCCUCGAGCGGGGGAUAACUAGCCGAAAGGCUAGCUAAUACCGCAUAACACUGUAGCCGGCAUCGGCAGCAGUUGAAAGUAGCAAUACAC